This 125-nucleotide small RNA is filed under the name Marmota monax (woodchuck). Lineage: Eukaryota; Metazoa; Chordata; Mammalia; Rodentia; Sciuridae. The record is from RNAcentral.
GCUGGGCAGGGUGGCACAUGCCUGUAACCCCAGCAGCUCAGGAGGCCGAGGCAGGAGGAUCACAAGUUCAAAGCCAGCCUCAGCAAAAGUGAGGCACUAAGCAACUCAGUGAGACCCUGUUUCUA